Molecule: ribosomal RNA, 429 nt
Filed under: Pseudomonadota bacterium
Lineage: Bacteria; Pseudomonadati; Pseudomonadota
Description: Proteobacteria bacterium partial 16S ribosomal RNA
Rfam family: Bacterial small subunit ribosomal RNA
Source: RNAcentral
UGGGGAAUAUUGGACAAUGGGCGAAAGCCUGAUCCAGCCAUGCCGCGUGUGUGAGGAAGGUCUUCGGAUUGUAAAGCACUUUAAGUUGGGAGGAAGGGCAGUAAGCGAAUACCUUGCUGUUUUGACGUUACCGACAGAAUAAGCACCGGCUAACUCUGUGCCAGCAGCCGCGGUCAUGCAGAGGGUGCAAGCGUUAAUCGGAAUUACUGGGCGUAAAGCGCGCGUAGGUGGUUCGUUAAGUUGAAUGUGAAAGCCCCGGGCUCAACCUGGGAACUGCAUCCAAAACUGGCGAGCUAGAGUAGGGCAGAGGGUGGUGGAAAUUCCUGUGUAGCGGUGAAAUGCGUAGAUAUAGGAAGGAACACCAGUGGCGAAGGCGACCACCUGGGCUCAUACUGACACUGAGGUGCGAAAGCGUGGGGAGCAAACAGG